Molecule: ribosomal RNA, 333 nt
Filed under: Escherichia coli
Lineage: Bacteria; Pseudomonadati; Pseudomonadota; Gammaproteobacteria; Enterobacterales; Enterobacteriaceae
Description: partial 23S ribosomal RNA
Rfam family: Bacterial large subunit ribosomal RNA
Source: RNAcentral
GCGUAGUCGAUGGGAAACAGGUUAAUAUUCCUGUACUUGGUGUUACUGCGAAGGGGGGACGGAGAAGGCUAUGUUGGCCGGGCGACGGUUGUCCCGGUUUAAGCGUGUAGGCUGGUUUUCCAGGCAAAUCCGGAAAAUCAAGGCUGAGGCGUGAUGACGAGGCACUACGGUGCUGAAGCAACAAAUGCCCUGCUUCCAGGAAAAGCCUCUAAGCAUCAGGUAACAUCAAAUCGUACCCCAAACCGACACAGGUGGUCAGGUAGAGAAUACCAAGGCGCUUGAGAGAACUCGGGUGAAGGAACUAGGCAAAAUGGUGCCGUAACUUCGGGAGAA